This 1147-nucleotide long non-coding RNA is filed under the name Monodelphis domestica (gray short-tailed opossum). Its description in RNAcentral is "lncRNA (ENSMODG00000032914.2)". The record is from RNAcentral. Lineage: Eukaryota; Metazoa; Chordata; Mammalia; Didelphimorphia; Didelphidae.
UCUUUAGGACAGUCUGCACUCAGCUGUCUGUAUUACCUUGGCCAUAACAUUUCAUGUUCUUGUGGAUUCCGGAUCCCUCUGAUUCCUUUCAACUGAAAACACAAUGAUUGAUGGCAGCUCAGUGGCUCCGUAGAUGGAGAGCCAGGCCUAGAGGAAGGAGGUCCUGGGUUCAAAUCUGACCUCAUUCACUUCCUAGCUGUGUGAUCCUGGGCAAGUGACCUAACCCUCAUUGUGUAGCCUUUACAGCUCUUCUGCCAUGGGACCAAUACACAUGAUCAAUUCUAAGAUAGAAGAAAAGAGAAUGGAGGCUCAGAAACCGAAAUGAUUCACCAAAGAUCACACAAAAUGCAAGUAGCAACCCAGGAUUCAAAUGCCAAGCUUCCAAUGCCAAAGUAUUCAAAGAAUCUUCCCAUGACACCUCACUAGAUGCCUCACUCUGCAUGUACAAGGGCUUCCAUAUAGACUGCUGGCUACUACUAGGGGCAAUCUGAAUGGGAGAGGAAGAACAGGACAGGGAAUGCGUUCUUUCAGAAAACAGAAAUGGAGGAAACUUUAACCCUGACCCCAGGUGGAAGGAAAACCCUGGCCAGGAUGACAGAAUAGCAGCCUUUUCCAAGUCACCUUCAUGUGGUCGAGUCUUCUCUCAUGCCUGUGGCAUCCAGAAAUACAAAAGCACAGUUGACUUAACCUUGUUUGGUUCUGAACAUCACUGGCAGAGCCUUUCUGGGAGGGAACGAGUCUCCAAGGAAUCAGCCUAUCUGGAGUCAUCCACCACUUUGGAGAGGAAGGGCAUGCAUUUCAUGCUUUAUUCUCAAGAAGAGCCUGCACAAAGAAUCUCCACUCAUGGGACAAGAACAGCAAAACAUGCCUGUGGUUGGAAUGGAACGUAGAAGUCGGCAAGUUCAGUGCCCUCUUUUGACAGAGAAGAAAACUGAGCAAGCCAGAGAGGUCGAGUGAUCUGUCCACAGUCACACAGCCAAUCCAUGACAUACCUAGCACGUGAAUCCAAGUCUCCUGGGCUUGCCCUAGUUUUCCAAGUCUUCCUAGAUGAAAUGGGGGCUGGCUGGGGGGAAGGAAACGGUGGCAGCAAUUUUUUGUCUUCUGGUUUCUUAAAAAAAUUACAAUUAUUUUCUCAAAGUAUUGCAUU